Molecule: ribosomal RNA, 468 nt
Filed under: uncultured bacterium
Lineage: Bacteria
Description: partial 16S ribosomal RNA
Rfam family: Bacterial small subunit ribosomal RNA
Source: RNAcentral
GAUGAACGCUGGCGGCGUGCUUAACACAUGCAAGUCGAACGGUGAAGGCGGAGCUUGCUCUGCUGGAUCAGUGGCGAACGGGUGAGUAACACGUGAGCAAUCUGCCCCUGACUCUGGGAUAAGCGCUGGAAACGGCGUCUAAUACUGGAUACGAGCUGCGAAGGCAUCUUCAGCAGCUGUAAAGAACUUCGGUCAGGGAUGAGCUCGCGGCCUAUCAGCUUGUUGGUGAGGUAACGGCUCACCAAGGCGUCGACGGGUAGCCGGCCUGAGAGGGUGACCGGCCACACUGGGACUGAGACACGGCCCAGACUCCUACGGGAGGCAGCAGUGGGGAAUAUUGCACAAUGGGCGAAAGCCUGAUGCAGCAACGCCGCGUGAGGGAAGACGGCCUUCGGGUUGUAAACAUCUUUUAGCAGGGAAGAAGCGAAAGUGACGGUACCUGCAGAAAAAGCGCCGGCUAACUACGUG